GACGAACGCUGGCGGCGUGCUUAACACAUGCAAGUCGAACGGAAAGGCCCUGCUUUUGUGGGGUUCUCGAGUGGCGAACGGGUGUGUAACACGUGAGUAUCCUGCCCUUGACUUUGGGAUAACAUCAGGAGACUGGGGCUAAUAUCGCAUAUGAGCUCCUGCAGCAUGGUGUGGGUUGGUGAGUUUCGGCGGUUGGGGAUGGACUCGCGGCUUAUCCGCUUGUUGGUGGGGUAGUGGCUUACCAAGGCUUUGACGGGUAGCCGGCGUGAGAGGGUGGCCGGCGACAAUGGGACUGAGGUACGGACCAGACUGCAACGGGAGGCAGCAGGGGGAAAUAUUGCACAAUGGGCGGAAGCCUGAUGCAGCGACGCCGCGUGCGGGAUGACGGCCUUCGGGUUGUAAACAGCUUUCGCCUGUGACGAAGCGGGAGUGACGGUAAUGGGUAAAGAAGCACCGGCUAACUACGUG
RNAcentral lists this ribosomal RNA (468 nucleotides) under uncultured bacterium. RNAcentral's name for it is "partial 16S ribosomal RNA". It matches the Rfam family "Bacterial small subunit ribosomal RNA", at positions 28 to 507 of the family's 1533-position model. The record is from RNAcentral.